GAUCUGCGGAAGUCACUGCUAUUGGGAUUCGACUAAGCCAUGCGAGUCGAGAGGGUUCGGCCCUCGGCUGACGGCUCAGUAACACGUGGAUAAUCUGCCCUUAGGUGGAGGAUAAUCUCGGGAAACUGAGGAUAAUACUCCAUAGAUCUAGGAUGCUGGAAUGCAUUUAGAUUGAAAGCUCCGGCGCCUAAGGAUGAGUCUGCGGACUAUCAGGUUGUAGUCAGGGUAAAGACCUGAUUAGCCUACGACGGAUACGGGUUGUGAGAGCAAUAACCCGGAGACGAUAUCUGAGACACGAUAUCGGGCCCUACGGGGCGCAGCAGGCGCGAAAACUUCACACUGUGCGAAAGCGCGAUGAGGGAAUCCCAAGUGUUUGCUCGUAAGAGUAAACUGUUUCUUUGUUUAAAACGCAGAGAGAGUAAGGGCUGGGUAAGACGGGUGCCAGCCGCCGCGGUAAUACCUGCAGCUCAAGUGGUGAUCAUUAUUAUUGGGCCUAAAACGUCCGUAGCCGGUUUAGUAAAUGCCUGGGUAAAUCGUGUAGCUUAACUAUACGACUUCCGGGUAGACUGCUAAACUUGAGACCGGGAGAGGCUAGAGGUACUCCUGGGGUAGAGGUGAAAUUCUGUAAUCCUAGGGGGACCACCAGUGGCGAAGGCGUCUAGCUAGAACGGGUCUGACGGUGAGGGACGAAGCCCUGGGGCGCAAACCGGAUUAGAUACCCGGGUAGUCCAGGGUGUAAACGCUGCUUGCUUGAUGUUAGUUGGGCUCCGAGCCCAACUAGUGUCGGAGAGAAGUUGUUAAGCAAGCUGCCUGGGAAGUACGGUCGCAAGGCUGAAACUUAAAGGAAUUGGCGGGGGAGCACAGCAACGGGUGGAGCGUGCGGUUUAAUUGGAUUCAACGCCGGA
Molecule: ribosomal RNA, 905 nt
Filed under: uncultured archaeon
Lineage: Archaea
Description: bacterial SSU rRNA
Rfam family: Archaeal small subunit ribosomal RNA
Source: RNAcentral